This 301-nucleotide ribosomal RNA is filed under the name uncultured bacterium. RNAcentral describes it as "partial 16S ribosomal RNA". It matches the Rfam family "Bacterial small subunit ribosomal RNA", at positions 509 to 807 of the family's 1533-position model. The record is from RNAcentral.
CAGCCGCCGCGGGAAAACAGAGGGUGCGAGCGUUAAUCGGAUUUACUGGGCGUAAAGCGUGCGUAGGCGGCUUUUUAAGUCGGAUGUGAAAUCCCUGAGCUUAACUUAGGAAUUGCAUUCGAUACUGGGAAGCUAGAGUAUGGGAGAGGAUGGUAGAAUUCCAGGUGUAGCGGUGAAAUGCGUAGAGAUCUGGAGGAAUACCGAUGGCGAAGGCAGCCAUCUGGCCUAAUACUGACGCUGAGGUACGAAAGCAUGGGGAGCAAACAGGAUUAGAGACCCCGGUAGUCCCUGUCUCUUAUAC